AAUACCGGAUAACAACACUAGACGCAUGUCUAGAGUUUGAAAGAUGGUUCUGCUAUCACUCUUGGAUGGACCUGCGGUGCAUUAGCUAGUUGGUAAGGUAACGGCUUACCAAGGCAAUGAUGCAUAGCCGAGUUGAGAGACUGAUCGGCCACAUUGGGACUGAGACACGGCCCAAACUCCUACGGGAGGCAGCAGUAGGGAAUCUUCCACAAUGGACGAAAGUCUGAUGGAGCAACGCCGCGUGAGUGAAGAAGGGUUUCGGCUCGUAAAGCUCUGUUGGUAGUGAAGAAAGAUAGAGGUAGUAACUGGCCUUUAUUUGACGGUAAUUACUUAGAAAGUCACGGCUAACUACGUGCCAGCAGCCGCGGUAAUACGUAGGUGGCAAGCGUUGUCCGGAUUUAUUGGGCGUAAAGCGAGUGCAGGCGGUUCAAUAAGUCUGAUGUGAAAGCCUUCGGCUCAACCGGAGAAUUGCAUCAGAAACUGUUGAACUUGAGUGCAGAAGAGGAGAGUGGAACUCCAUGUGUAGCGGUGGAAUGCGUAGAUAUAUGGAAGAACACCAGUGGCGAAGGCGGCUCUCUGGUCUGCAACUGACGCUGAGGCUCGAAAGCAUGGGUAGCGAACAGGAUUAGAUACCCUGGUAGUCCAUGCCGUAAACGAUGAGAGCGAAGUGUUGGGAGGUUUCCGCCUCUCAGUGCUGCAGC
Molecule: ribosomal RNA, 701 nt
Filed under: uncultured bacterium
Lineage: Bacteria
Description: bacterial SSU rRNA
Rfam family: Bacterial small subunit ribosomal RNA
Source: RNAcentral